AGUGAACGCUGGCGGUAGGCCUAACACAUGCAAGUCGAACGGCAGCACAGUAAGAGCUUGCUCUUACGGGUGGCGAGUGGCGGACGGGUGAGGAAUACAUCGGAAUCUACUUUUUCGUGGGGGAUAACGUAGGGAAACUUACGCUAAUACCGCAUACGACCUACGGGUGAAAGCAGGGGAUCUUCGGACCUUGCGCGAUUGAAUGAGCCGAUGUCGGAUUAGUUAGUUGGCGGGGUAAAGGCCCACCAAGGCGACGAUCCGUAGCUGGUCUGAGAGAAUGGUCAGCCACACUCGAACUGGGACACGGUCCAGACUCCUACGGGAGGCAGCAGUGGGGAAUAUUGGACAGUGGGCGCAAGCCUGAUCCAGCCAUACCACGUGAGUGAAGAAGGCCUUCGGGUUGUAAAGCCCUUUUGUUGGGAAAGAAAAGCAGCAGGUUAAUACCACGCUGUUCUGACGGUACCCAAAGAAUAAGCACCGGCUAACUUCGUG
RNAcentral lists this ribosomal RNA (492 nucleotides) under uncultured bacterium. Its description in RNAcentral is "partial 16S ribosomal RNA". It matches the Rfam family "Bacterial small subunit ribosomal RNA", at positions 29 to 507 of the family's 1533-position model. The record is from RNAcentral.